CGGAAAACUGGGGAUAAUACCCUAUAGGCUAUGGAUGCUGGAAUGCGCUGUAGCCGAAAGGUCAGCCGCCGUAGGAUGGGUCUGCGGCCGAUUAGGUUGUUGUUGGGGUAACGGCCCAACAAGCCUGUAAUCGGUACGGGUUGUGGGAGCAAGAGCCCGGAGAUGGAUUCUGAGACACGAAUCCAGGCCCUACGGGGCGCAGCAGGCGCGAAAACUUUACAAUGCGGGAAACCGUGAUAAGGGAACUCUGAGUGCCCGUAGAAUCGGGCUGUCGAUCAGUUUAAAUAGCAGGUAAAGAAAGGGCCGGGCAAGACCGGUGACAGCCGCCGCGGUAAUA
This 337-nucleotide ribosomal RNA is filed under the name uncultured archaeon. Its description in RNAcentral is "partial 16S ribosomal RNA". It matches the Rfam family "Archaeal small subunit ribosomal RNA", at positions 133 to 475 of the family's 1478-position model. The record is from RNAcentral.